This is a long non-coding RNA of Triticum dicoccoides, 2426 nucleotides long. RefSeq lists it as uncharacterized. The transcript is spliced from 2 exons. The record is from RefSeq and is a predicted model, not a curated record. NCBI's taxonomy places the organism in Eukaryota, Viridiplantae, Streptophyta, Magnoliopsida, Poales, Poaceae.
AACGACCAGAGCCACUCCUUUUUCUCCUCGCCCAUGGACGCAUCUCGUGUGCGAGCUCCUCUUUUUCCUUUUCUCUUCUUCCCCUCUUCUUCCAUGCGCCCCCCACUCCCCGCACUAUCGACAGGCUGUGCCGGACGGCCAUGGCAGCUCGUCGGCCAAUCGUCGCACACAGCACCCACCUCACUUUUUCCACCCUCGGGGGUUCAUCAAGCUCCUGCUCCUCCGCCAAUCACCAGCACCACACCAGUGCCGACCCCCCUGCUGCUACCACGACGUAGUGCAAGCUUUAGGACAAGCGGUGUUGGAACCGGCAGAGGGCGGUGCUGCAACCGUUGUCAUCUAAAGCUGGAAUCAAGAGGUGUGGCUCUUGCAAGCCCCAGCCGCAGUGCUGGAACAACGGCUAUGUCGUGCUACGACGGGCAGACGAGAUGCUGGAACCGGCCUUGGCAGGAGCUACAAUCAGCGGCCUUUUUUGCUACAACCGUUCUUUUGUUUUGCUGGAAUUAGCGACUUUUUUUGCUAGGAUAUGUAAUUUGAGAUGUUUUUUGCUGGAACUAUCUCUAAUUUUUGCUACCACCGUCCAUGAUUUUUGCUACCACUGGCCUUUUCGAUUUUUGCUACCGCCUGUCUGUGAUUUUGCUGCUGAAACCCAGUUUCAAUUUUUUGCUACCACCGUCUGUGUUUUUUGCUGCCACCGUCUUUGAUUUUUGCCACCAUCCCAUCUUUUGAUUUUUUGCCGGAUCCAUGUUAUUGCUGGAACCAGAGAAUUUGUUUGCUGGAACCAACAAUUUAUUAUGUUGCAACCAGCUUCCAGAGCCCAACGGCCAGUGGAACCGCUGGGGCAUAUUUGUUUUGACGGGCCUCCGCUGCAUCUGGCGAGACGGGGAGCAGCCACGGCGAGGCGGUGAGUGGCGAUGGGAACGUCUAGUCGGUGUUGCUAUGGCAAGCUAGGCGCCGAGUUCUACAGGGGUCGUGCAUUGGUUUGUGGAGAAAGAUGAUGCGUAUCGGGGAUAGAGGAUAAAGUUUAAAUGGUUGACAAUAUGCUAAUCCUAUGGUGCAGAGUGGACCGGCCGAAACUGGCCGAAAGUUUUGGCCGGUGCGCCGGCGCCUAGUACUCGCCUAAAGAAUGACAUACCCGUCUUAAUUGGUAUGCAACUAUUUCCUUCUAUAUAUACGUCCACUUUUCUCAUGAAUAUCAUAUCCAUGGUCUCAACAUGAUAUCUUGUCAACUUCACUUAGCCACUUGAGGUAUUGGAGGAAACUAAGUACACACAUAGGAUGUAAAAGAGCACACCAACUUAGGCACGUUGUCUCAGAGGAUGAAAUAUAGGCCCACAAGAGUCGUCUUCAGCAAGGGAAUACAUCAGUAUUGCAAGCUACAGAAAAUAUAUCAAGAUAUUGGGAGUGGUCAAGUGUGUGUAUGGUGGUAGUCUGGUGCUGGUGGCACAAAUCUUCACGCGCUACGAUCCUCCAUUAGUCGAGCUCUCCUUCGAUAAGAGCUAUGAGACCCUCGCCGGGGGAAUAGCCACAAAAAGAUCGUACACGUGCCUCUAGGUAAGGAGUAGUUCAUGUGAGCGGUGGACAUCCUAUCCUCCUAUGACCCUGAAAUCAUAGUAGAUGAAGACCUGAAGCUUGUCGGAAUUAGUUUAGAACCUUCUAGAAGAUCCUGUCAUGGUCGAGUUAGAUACAAGGCUUAAACCGAUUAUGUUAUGAUUUUAUCUUGUGUAUCAAGGUUUAACCUGCCUAAUUUAUAAGCCACUUAUGAUGCUUUUCCAUCCCAAUAUUGUAUUGUGUAUCAAGGCUGUAAGAGCAUCUCCAGCCGUUGGCACCCCCAGGAGGCAUAAAAAUCGCCGUCUGGGGGCGAGCCGGCGGCAUAAUCAGCUCUGGGGGUGGUUGGGCACCCAGCCGUCACCUCCAGGCACCGAUGUAGUUGUUGAUGCACCUGUGGGUCUCGGAUCUCCUGACGCAUACUGAGGUCUGAGCAAGAUACCGGACAACAGCAAAUCAAGAUUGGAGCACACCAAAUGCUCGCUCGACAUCCUUUGUGCAUGACUCCUGAGCCUUGGCAAAGUGGGACUUCUUGCCUCCUGGCACAACGUUUGAGAUAGUCUUCACAAAUGUCGACCAUCUCGGAUAGAUGCCAUCAGCUAGGUAGUACCCCUUGUUGUAGUGCCGCCCGUUGACCUUGAAGUUCACCGGAGGAGAAUGACCUUCAACAAGCUUGGCAAAGACAGGGGAGCACUGCAGGACGUUGAUGUCAUUGUGAGUUCCUAGCAUCCCAAAGAAAUAGUGCCAAAUCCAGAGAUCCUGUAUGGCCACUGCCUCAAAUACCACAUUGCAACUGCCUUUGGCGCCUUUGUACAACCCCUGCUAAGCAAAUGAACAGUUCUUCCAUUUUUAAUGCAUGCAGUCGAUGCUUUCAAGCA